Perognathus longimembris pacificus (Pacific pocket mouse) is the source of this 103-nucleotide small nuclear RNA. The record is from RefSeq and is a predicted model, not a curated record. Lineage: Eukaryota; Metazoa; Chordata; Mammalia; Rodentia; Heteromyidae.
GUGCUCCAGUAGCGCGUAUACUAAAAUUGGAACGAUACAGAGAUGAUUGGCAGGGCCCCUGCGCAAGGACGCCACGCAUAUUCGUGAAGCGUUCCGUAUUUUU